This 248-nucleotide long non-coding RNA is filed under the name Physcomitrium patens. Its description in RNAcentral is "long non-coding RNA (PPAT_LNC007504)". Lineage: Eukaryota; Viridiplantae; Streptophyta; Bryopsida; Funariales; Funariaceae. The record is from RNAcentral.
AUCUUACCUCCUAAAUUGACUAUCCUAUGGAUGAUUAAUCAAUUCUACCAAUAUCCAACCAAUGUCCUAUAAAAAUUAAUUUUCAUCCAUUCUACAUAGCCUCGCUCUUAACUAUGUAACGUCUUUGUAAACAUGGAACUGGUAAAAAAAACUACUUUAACAAACCUUUAUAAAGUUUCUAUCUCUUUGGCUCACUAGAUUGAUCAAUUCUAACAUUCUUCAUAGGUGGUUCCACUAAUUCUGGUUCU